RNAcentral lists this ribosomal RNA (223 nucleotides) under Citrobacter braakii. Its description in RNAcentral is "partial 23S ribosomal RNA". It matches the Rfam family "Bacterial large subunit ribosomal RNA", at positions 1 to 215 of the family's 2925-position model. Lineage: Bacteria; Pseudomonadati; Pseudomonadota; Gammaproteobacteria; Enterobacterales; Enterobacteriaceae. The record is from RNAcentral.
GGGUUGUGAGGUUAAGCGACUAAGCGUACACGGUGGAUGCCCUGGCAGUCAGAGGCGAUGAAGGACGUGCUAAUCUGCGAUAAGCGUCGGUAAGGUGAUAUGAACCGUUAUAACCGGCGAUUUCCGAAUGGGGAAACCCAGUGCAAUUCGUUGCACUAUCAUUACGUGAAUACAUAGCGUAAUGAAGCGAACCGGGGGAACUGAAACAUCUAAGUACCCCGAG